Molecule: long non-coding RNA, 1462 nt
Filed under: Homo sapiens (human)
Lineage: Eukaryota; Metazoa; Chordata; Mammalia; Primates; Hominidae
Description: lymphatic endothelial transcriptional regulator lncRNA 1
Source: RNAcentral
GGUGGGGCCGCACCUGCGCGACAGCCCGCCGCUUCCCUCCGCUCCCUUCGCCGCGCCUCGCGUGCUAGCGGUGCCCUUGUGAGCCACUGCGUUCUCCAAGGCCAGAACGGGACAGUUGACGAUGGUCGUACUUCUCCAUGUUCUGAGACCAGUUUAAACAAAAACAAAAACCAGACAACAACCUUGCAAGGGAAAGAAUUCAGAGUAAAUAAACAGUCUUUUUCUGGGAAGUAAAAUAUUUCCCUAAGAUGGAGAAAUUGAGAUGAGAGCUCAUCCACAAGAUUACCCAUCAAUGAGCACCAAUAGCAACCAAAUCCACUAGAAGACUGGGAGCUUUUAAGUCAAGAAACUUACAUCAGUAUCAUCAUUCCAAGAAGCGGUAUCCAAGCUGUUUUAUCGAAAGUGCGCAUGGGAGGCAGAUUUUGACUCCAAAAGUCCAGGAUGGGGCCUGAGGUUCUGCAUGUCUAACAAUUUCCCAGCUGAUGCCAAAGCUGCUGAUCAGAGUCUACACCUUAAGAAAUAAGACUCUGAGAAUUUAUAGAAACAAACAUUAGAAGGCAGGAAUGUGGAGAGAAGAAAGCUACCUGACAAGGGAAUCUCAGGAUACAAGGAAAACACCAAGGAAUGUAAAUCUCUGUUUACCACAAGCCCUCUGUCUCCACAAGUUCUGUGUCCAGAACUGAAGGCAGAUCCAAAUACAAUAUUCAUGGGAUGCAAAUUCCCAUGUAUGCCAAGAGAUAACUGCUUUAUUGGAGGCCUAGUGGGGAACUGAAACUCCCACUCCUGCUUAGCAGGAAUGAGAAGCCCCCUUUCAGAGGUCAACAGAAGCUGAGUUAAGAAACCUGAACUUUUACCCUACCUGGCAGUAAUGAAGCGACACCCACCUUCGUCUGUGAGGAUGGUGUGAGAUGAAGGUAGCUAAAACAAAAGGUUUAAAUAAGAUUCAGAGUCUCAUCAUAUUGAAAUGUCCAUAUUUCAGUGGAAAAUUACUCAUCAUACAAAAACAAGAAAGAACUAAAACUAAGUGAGAAAAGAUAAUAAAUAUAUGCCAACAUCAAGAUGACACAAAUGUUAGAAUUAUCUGGCAAAGCUUGUAAAGCAGCCAUCAUAAAAAUACUCCAAUGAACAAUUAAAACAUUCUUGUAGCUAAUGAAAAUUUAUUUGGAAAGCUUCAACAAAGAAAUAGGAAGUCAUAACCAAAAAUAGAAGAUAAAAGAGUCAAAUGGAAAAUUUUGAACUGAAGAAUACAAUAACCAAUAUAAAAAACUCAAUGCAUGGGCAGAAUGGAGGAGACAGAGGAAAUAUUGGUGAACUGGAGGAAACAAUAUAAAUUGACCAUCUAUACAACAGAGAGAAGAUAGAGUGAAAAAAAGAUGAAAGGAACCUCAAAGACCUUCGAGAUUAUAGCAAAAAAAACCAAAAUAAAACAAAACCAAAAACCAACAAACAGACAGACAAAAAA